AUCCUUAUCAGUCAAAAGUGUAAACAAUGUGGCCCAGUAAAUUUCCGUUAUCCUGUGGCCUUCACCUUCAUGUGUGAUGUCAAAGUUCACAGGUCACAUCAUGACCUCUUCAAAGCUCAUGCAUUUUGGAGCACAUGCUUGCCAGUGUGUAUUGGACCUCCAUCCUGCCUGGUUGUCACCCAGCUGACUGUAAGCUGAACUAUGUAAAGACACAUAUUUUCUGAGACUCUAAAAGAGUUUGAAGUAACCAGUUCAAGUGAGAUCUGAAAGAAGAGGAAUGACUGACUGACAUGAUGAACUGACAGAGGAAAAUGGUGACUUAGUUUGAGUGAAAAUGUUGACUGAAUACUACUUGAAGGAAGUAUGUGCAUAUGUCUUCCUGUUUGGGGCUGACUUUAAUCUGUCUUUGUUAUUGACAACUUAGCUUUCAGAACAUUAGAUGACUUA
Molecule: long non-coding RNA, 447 nt
Organism: Haliotis rubra (blacklip abalone)
Lineage: Eukaryota; Metazoa; Mollusca; Gastropoda; Lepetellida; Haliotidae
Exons: 3
Source: RefSeq, a predicted model, not a curated record